Molecule: non-coding RNA, 473 nt
Organism: Solanum lycopersicum (tomato)
Lineage: Eukaryota; Viridiplantae; Streptophyta; Magnoliopsida; Solanales; Solanaceae
Source: Rfam
AAGGGCAUCCUGUGGGCUUAGUAGACGUGUUGCGUGAGCGCUUGAUGUAAAAAUUUGAAUCAGAAGCGGGGCAUUGCCCCUCUUUUUGGACCUAAGGCUCGCUUCUCGGGCCUAUCCGGGCGGAAGACAUUGUCAAGUGGGGAGUUUGGCUGGGGCGGUACAUUUGUUUAAAGAUAACGCAGGUGUCCUAAGAUGAGCUCAAUAAGAACAGAAAUCAGUGCGAAUACGAACCGUGAAAGUGUAGCCUAACGAUCCUUUAGACCUUCGGAAUUCGAAGCUAGAGGUGUCAGAAAAGUUACCAUAGGGAUAACUAGCUUGUGGCAACCAAGCGUUCAUAGCGAUGUUGCUUUUUGAUCCUUCGAUGUUGGUUCUUCCUAUCAUUGUGAAGCAGAAUUCACAAUGUGUUGGAAUGUUCACCCACCAAUAGGGAACGUGAGCUGGGUUUAGACCGUCGUGAGACAGGUUAAUUUUAC